GAUGAACGCUGGCGGCGUGCUUAAUACAUGCAAGUCGAGCGAACAGACGAGGCUUGUGCUGUUGUGUAGUUAGCGGCGGAUGGGUGAUUAAUACGUGACUUACCUAUAUAUAAGACUUGAGUAACGUCGGGAAACCGUAGCUCAUACUGCGUAAAAUCUCGAACCGCAGGGUUCAUGAGUGAAGGACGGUCUUGGUGAUACUUAUAGACGCGUCCGCGCUGCAUUAGCUAGAUGUUAAGGUAACGGCUUACCAAGGCAACGAUGCGUAGCCGACCUGAGAGGGUGAUGGGCCACACUGGAAGUGAGCCGCGGUCCAGACUCCUACGGGAGGCAGCAGUAGGGAAUCUUGCGCGAAGGGCGAAAGCCUGACGGAGCAGCGCCGCGUGAGUGAUGAAGGUCUUCGGAUCGGAAAACUCUGUUAUUAGGGAAGAACAUAUGUGUAAGUAACUAUGCACAUCUUGACGGUACCUAAUCAGAAAGCCACGGCUAACUACGUG
This 497-nucleotide ribosomal RNA is filed under the name uncultured bacterium. Its description in RNAcentral is "partial 16S ribosomal RNA". It matches the Rfam family "Bacterial small subunit ribosomal RNA", at positions 28 to 507 of the family's 1533-position model. The record is from RNAcentral.